Molecule: long non-coding RNA, 656 nt
Organism: Eubalaena glacialis (North Atlantic right whale)
Lineage: Eukaryota; Metazoa; Chordata; Mammalia; Artiodactyla; Balaenidae
Exons: 4
Source: RefSeq, a predicted model, not a curated record
GACUGGAGCUUCAGUAGUCACCUUGUGAGCAUGAAGAAAAGAAUCAGAGGAUCCCAGAGCUCUUUGCCCUAACAUCUAUAACCUGCUGAACCCAUGCCAGCAGUGGCCUCCUUCCAGGCUUCUUGUGAUCAUUAUUUACAGUAUUCAAGAUAUGGAAGCAACCUAAGUAACCAUCAACAGAUGAGUGGACAAAGAAGAUGUGAUAUAUAUAUAUCUGGAAUACUACUCAGCCAUAAAAAAGAAUGAAAGCUUGCCAUUUGUGACAACAUGGAUGGACCUAGAGAGUCUCAUACUAAGUGAAGCAAAUGCUCUGCCGGAUAUUGGAAUCUUGUUCCUGAAAUUAAGUCCAUCCGUGGACACCUGGAUCUCCUGCGGCUGGGACCCACACAUUCAUUGAGACACUGGUGUUGUGUCAUGGAUCUCCACUCUCAACCCUGGCGUCUAUCACAUGAGCCAAGGACUCCCUAGAUGAAGAGGCAGAAUCUUGCGGGUAUUUAGUGGGAGGUGUGAAGGAAGAGAAACUACAACAGAAGUGCCUUCUUAUGGCUGGGUUUACUGAGGUGAUACAGAAUGAGAGAGCGGACCUUCUCCUUCCUCCUGUGCAAGUUCACAGGGUUUGUAAAGGGUGACCAGAAGGCUGAGGCUGGGAACUUCAG